This 2346-nucleotide long non-coding RNA is filed under the name Nicotiana benthamiana. RNAcentral describes it as "long non-coding RNA (NBEN_LNC027844)". Lineage: Eukaryota; Viridiplantae; Streptophyta; Magnoliopsida; Solanales; Solanaceae. The record is from RNAcentral.
CAAGAAAACCUUAAGGAAAUUUCGUAUUAUAGCCUUUUAAUAUUUCAACAGAUUGUUGAAAAUGAAUUGCCUUCAGAAAUGGAAGACAGUUAUUGCAAUGAUAAUUGUUGAAUUUGGUUUUGCGCUGAAAUGCACUUCUCAAGAAAGUCCUCAACGGAGGAAUGGACCAAUUGGUGGCAUCAACAUAUAGGCUUGCAGUUUGUGCUAUGACCCCUUUCUCACCAAGGCACCUUGAGUUCGAUACCUUUUCAGACAUUUUCAAUUACAAAACUAGCAAUUUAACAUUUUUACACACAUAAUCUCAUAGCUCUUCUGAUUAUUUGCUUCCAAUUUGAUUUUACAAGACUAUUAAUUUCUUCUUGUUUUCCUAAAACUAGUAUGUUCUAAUUUAAUUUUCAGCCUCAUCCCAAUGUGUUUAUGUUACAGCUUCUACAAUCCUGUCUACUUUGCAAUCUAUGCUAAGUGUUUAUGUUGUUCUCUUUGCAUCUGUUUCUACCGUACCCUAUUACCUUCUAUGUGUUUGAGUUAAAGUUCAGGACAUGGAAACAUCAAAAUUGUUGCUCAUGUCUAGACUUGAUCUUUUAAGGGAUCUUAACUUCCAAACAAUAUGGCUGACAGGCUGGUUGGGGUGUGCCAUCAACUCCAUGGGUAUGACCACCAGCCUAUCCCUGCUCUCCCCAGAAUCCUCUCUUUGCACUUACACUCUCUCCUAGCUUCUAAGUUCUGCCCCCCCUCUUAUGAGCCAUGCUUUGCGACCUUGAGUUCCCUCUGAACCUGGACACUUGAGGGAUGACUCUUCCACGCUACACUAUGAAUCAAUUCUACAAUAUAUUUGGGUGUGAGCACUGACCGACGUCCAUUUGAGACUCUUAGGAAACUCUAAUACAUCCCGAAUAAGAGAAAGACUUUGGAAUGUGAUCUUUGGAGAUUGGUUUAUUUCAUGUUUCAGACAGGAAGUCUGAAUCAGGCUCUUCUUGGUUAUAAUCUUAGUCCUCUUGAUAUAAUUUUACUUUCCUUAUUCAUUCUGGGCUGCAAUAAUAACUUGUAAUAACUACUGGGGUUGUUAGUGAAAAGGGGAGGGUAACUCAUGCAUGCAAAGGGUAGAUAUUAUGUUCAUAGGAAAUAUAUACACUUCUAUACUCAUGUAUCAAGUUCUUAGCUUCUGGAUUUUUGCAUAUCACAUAGGGAUCCUGUCUAUAGACUUCUGCAUUUUUUGCAUCUCAUAAAGGCACCAUGUUUAUAGGCUUCUGUACUUCUGGAUUUUUGCAUCUCAUAUAAGGAUCCUGUCUAUAGGCUUUUGCAUUUUUUUGCAUCUCAUAUAGGACCAUGUCUAUAGGCUUCUGUACUUCUGCAUUAUAGAGACCAUGUCUAUGGGAUUUUCUGAAUUCUUGCACUUGCAUCCAUCACUAGGCAAACCUGCUCAUAGGUUUAAAUAAUAAACACCAUGCUAGAUGUUACGCCUAUAUGACUUUUUUUGCAUCUGCAUCUAUAACUAGGCAAGCUUGUUCAUAGGUUUAAAUAAUAAACAACAUGCUAGAUAUUAUGCCUAUAGGACUUCCUGAAUUUUUGCAUCUACACCUAUCACUAGGUAAACCUGCGCGUAGGCUUAAAUAACAAAUAACAUUCUAGAUACCAUUCAUGUAUGACUUCUGCACUCUUAUUUCAGCUAUAAAAGUGUAUAAAAUGAAAACGCCGAGAAAGCAUGCCUAUAAGAGCAACCAAUAAAAUCAGAAUCAUUCAUUCGCUUAUAAGUCUAAAAAUUAGUAGUAACUAUAAUGACUGCAAAAUUUAUAUUCCUGUAAUUGACAAUUUCUUCUUUUUCUGAAACUAAUAGAUAUCAUGCCAAAAGUUUCUCAUUUGAUACCUAGGCAAGCCAUAAGAUAACUUGUAAACUGAAUCAAAUUCUAUCAAUUCCAACCAGCAGGCAGGACUGACUCGGGUUUCUUAUCCGAAAUAUGUAAUGGAUCAGUCUGCCACAAUCUUUAAGUUUGAUUAAUACCAUAACAAGUAUGUGCAAAAUAUGCUAAAGAAUCUAUCUUUUAGUUGAGGAGGCCUGUUUGAGCCUUUAAUUGCUAUGUAUUUCCCCAUACCUGCUCUAUGUGUUUUUGAAUAUCGCGCUGGAGUUUUAUCCUUUUAAAACCACAAAAGGCCCAAAUCUCCCUUACCUUUAGGAAUAGUAAUCUCAAAUGCCUCCGGGGCUGGUAGGAUUGGGGAAGGGUAAUAGCAUGCAAUAAGUAAAACGAUAUCAUUCCGCGUUUAAUACCUUAAUGGGGUAGGAAAUGGUGCAUAUUGAUAUGAUGACCAUGCAAUAACACCACAUGUAUAAACGAUUACCGGGUGUUGUAU